RNAcentral lists this unclassified non-coding RNA (209 nucleotides) under Hevea brasiliensis (rubber tree). Lineage: Eukaryota; Viridiplantae; Streptophyta; Magnoliopsida; Malpighiales; Euphorbiaceae. The record is from RNAcentral.
GGAUGAGUAUGUCCUGGCGGUUGUUUCAAAAAGUCCAUAGCAAUUGCUAUGCAGCUUUAUUAAGCAAAAUUAACCAGUUUACGUAAUCAGUCAUUAGCUGCAAAUAGCUUUAGCUUAGCUUAAAUGCCAAGCCAAUAAUGAGUGCUUUGGUCGUUUUUAGUUUGAAAAUUAUGUCAUCAAAGAUUUAAUGAUGCUAUUUAUUGUUCUUA